UUUCAUGUUGCUUUUUCAUCUGAGAUGGGAACAAUGCCCCACAGGUUCCUUUGCAUCCCGUUGCUAUUUGUGAUUUUGGGCCUAGCCCAAGGACAACUUUCAGGACUACAGCCUGAUAACAGCUUGAGUGAAAAUGGAAAUAGAGUCAUUAGAAAAUCAUCGUAUUUACCUAUGAGCCCCACGAUAAAUAUGAAGGAGAAAAUUAAAGGAAAAAUACCUCCGCUUGGUGGAGUGCACGUGAAACCGGAAAAGAUGCCCUGGCACAGCAGCACACACAAGAGAGGAAUGGGUCAAAACAUGGAUUUAGGCGUAUAUUGGCAUCGGUUUCCAUUUGACCGGAAAUACAACUACAAGUACUUGAUUAAGGAGAAAUAAGAGCAGGGGGAGGAACUGACCCAUAAUGAAUGUACCUGAAAUCGACUGGACUGGAGGUGCUGAGAUAUCAUCAGAAUGCAACAUUUUACAAGUUUUAAUUCUGCAUGUUUAUAUAAUCAAAAAACUCUUCCUUGAUUAAAUGCCAAUAAAUUGUUCUACUUCUA
Long non-coding RNA from Xenopus laevis (African clawed frog), 539 nucleotides. RefSeq lists it as uncharacterized. The transcript has 3 exons. NCBI's taxonomy places the organism in Eukaryota, Metazoa, Chordata, Amphibia, Anura, Pipidae. The record is from RefSeq and is a predicted model, not a curated record.